GACGAACGCUGGCGGCGUGCUUAACACAUGCAAGUCGAACGGUGAACUCCGCUUGCGGGGGGAUCAGUGGCGAACGGGUGCGUAACACGUGGGCAACCUGCCCUCAGCUCUGGGAUAACUCCAAGAAAUUGGGGCUAAUACCGGAUAUGACCGCUGACCGCAUGGUCUGGGGGCGGAAAGAUUUAUCGGCUGGGGAUGGGCCCGCGGCCUAUCAGCUUGUUGGUGGGGUAGUGGCUUACCAAGGCGACGACGGGUAGCCGGCCUGAGAGGGUGACCGGCCACACUGGGACUGAGACACGGCCCAGACUCCUACGGGAGGCAGCAGUGGGGAAUAUUGCGCAAUGGGCGAAAGCCUGACGCAGCGACGCCGCGUGGGGGAUGACGGCCUUCGGGUUGUAAACCUCUGUCAGCAGGGACGAAGCGAAAGUGACGGUACCUGCAGAAGAAGCACCGGCCAACUACGUG
Molecule: ribosomal RNA, 465 nt
Filed under: uncultured bacterium
Lineage: Bacteria
Description: partial 16S ribosomal RNA
Rfam family: Bacterial small subunit ribosomal RNA
Source: RNAcentral